This 397-nucleotide ribosomal RNA is filed under the name uncultured bacterium. Its description in RNAcentral is "partial 16S ribosomal RNA". It matches the Rfam family "Bacterial small subunit ribosomal RNA", at positions 523 to 918 of the family's 1533-position model. The record is from RNAcentral.
AUACGUAGGUGGCAAGCGUUGUCCGGAAUUAUUGGGCGUAAAGCGCGCGCAGGUGGUUCCUUAAGUCUGAUGUGAAAGCCCCCGGCUCAACCGGGGAGGGUCAUUGGAAACUGGGGAACUUGAGUGCAGAAGAGGAUAGUGGAAUUCCAAGUGUAGCGGUGAAAUGCGUAGAGAUUUGGAGGAACACCAGUGGCGAAGGCGACUGUCUGGGCUGUAACGGACACUGAGGCGCGAAAGCGUGGGGAGCAAACAGGAUUAGAUACCCUGGUAGUCCACGCCGUAAACGAUGAGUGCUAAGUGUUGGGGGGUUUCCGCCCCUCAGUGCUGCAGCUAACGCAUUAAGCACUCCGCCUGGGGAGUACGGUCGCAAGACUGAAACUCAAAUGAAUUGUCGGGG